AGAAUCUACAUCAGGAGACAAACCCGUAUCACAUUCUUGCACAACUCCUUCCACGUCUUCUGCCUCUGGACUGAACCCCACAUCUGCACCUCCAACAUCUGCUUCAGCGGUCCCUGUUUCUCCUGUUCCACAGUCGCCAAUACCUCCCUUACUUCAGGACCCAAAUCUUCUUAGACAAUUGCUUCCUGCUUUGCAAGCCACGCUGCAGCUUAAUAAUUCUAAUGUGGACAUAUCUAAAAUAAAUGAAGUUCUUACAGCAGCUGUGACACAAGCCUCACUGCAGUCUAUAAUUCAUAAGUUUCUUACUGCUGGACCAUCUGCUUUCAACAUAACGUCUCUGAUUUCUCAAGCUGCUCAGCUCUCUACACAAGCCCAGCCAUCUAAUCAGUCUCCGAUGUCUUUAACAUCUGAUGCGUCAUCCCCAAGAUCAUAUGUUUCUCCAAGAAUAAGCACACCUCAAACUAACACAGUCCCUAUCAAACCUUUGAUCAGUACUCCUCCUGUUUCAUCACAGCCAAAGGUUAGUACUCCAGUAGUUAAGCAAGGACCAGUGUCACAGUCAGCCACACAGCAGCCUGUAACUGCUGACAAGCAGCAAGGUCAUGAACCUGUCUCUCCUCGAAGUCUUCAGCGCUCAAGGUAGUAGCCAGAGAAGUCCAUCACCUGGUCCCAAUCAUACUUCUAAUAGUAGUAAUGCAUCAAAUGCAACAGUUGUACCACAGAAUUCUUCUGCCCGAUCCACGUGUUCAUUAACGCCUGCACUAGCAGCACACUUCAGUGAAAAUCUCAUAAAACACGUUCAAGGAUGGCCUGCAGAUCAUGCAGAGAAGCAGGCAUCAAGAUUACGCGAAGAAGCGCAUAACAUGGGAACUAUUCACAUGUCCGAAAUUUGUACUGAAUUAAAAAAUUUAAGAUCUUUAGUCCGAGUAUGUGAAAUUCAAGCAACUUUGCGAGAGCAAAGGAUACUAUUUUUGAGACAACAAAUUAAGGAACUUGAAAAGCUAAAAAAUCAGAAUUCCUUCAUGGUGUGAAGAUGUGAAUAAUUGCACAUGGUUUUGAGAACAGGAACUGUAAAUCUGUUGCCCAAUCUUAACAUUUUUGAGCUGCAUUUAAGUAGACUUUGGACCGUUAAGCUGGGCAAAGGAAAUGACAAGGGGACGGGGUCUGUGAGAGUCAAUUCAGGGGAAAGAUACAAGAUUGAUUUGUAAAACCCUUGAAAUGUAGAUUUCUUGUAGAUGUAUCCUUCACGUUGUAAAUAUGUUUUGUAGAGUGAAGCCAUGGGAAGCCAUGUGUAACAGAGCUUAGACAUCCAAAACUAAUCAAUGCUGAGGUGGCUAAAUACCUAGCCUUUUACAUGUAAACCUGUCUGCAAAAUUAGCUUUUUU
Molecule: long non-coding RNA, 1385 nt
Filed under: Homo sapiens (human)
Lineage: Eukaryota; Metazoa; Chordata; Mammalia; Primates; Hominidae
Description: long non-coding RNA NONHSAT155266.1
Source: RNAcentral